UUUUAAGUUCCCCUGCCCCUUUGUACACCCCCCGCCCGUCGUUAUUACCGGUUGAAUGGCUUCAGUGAGGGCUUCCGGACUGGCCCCAGGGAGGUUCGGCAACGACCACCCAGGGCCGGAAAGUUAUCCAAACUCGGUCAUUUAGAGGGAAGUAAAAGUCGUAACAAGGUCUUCGUKGGKGARMCAGCGGAGGGAUCAUUA
Molecule: ribosomal RNA, 201 nt
Filed under: Pestalotiopsis microspora
Lineage: Eukaryota; Fungi; Ascomycota; Sordariomycetes; Amphisphaeriales; Sporocadaceae
Description: partial 18S ribosomal RNA
Rfam family: Eukaryotic small subunit ribosomal RNA
Source: RNAcentral